This is a long non-coding RNA of Canis lupus familiaris (dog), 1287 nucleotides long. RefSeq lists it as uncharacterized. The record is from RefSeq and is a predicted model, not a curated record. The transcript has 2 exons. NCBI's taxonomy places the organism in Eukaryota, Metazoa, Chordata, Mammalia, Carnivora, Canidae.
AGACCCUUGGAGAAAUGUCUGACACCCGGGUUUCUGCAGUCUGGAGAAACCCAAAGCCUGCUGCUGUGAUGUUACUGAAUUUCAGGGUUUCCCUGCUCAGCUCUUCUCUGCUCCCAGGCUUGGUUUCCUGCAUCCUGGAACCCCAUCCACGUGGGUAGGAAACUUGGUUGCUUCACCAGUUUCCAUAACGACAGAAUGUAACAAAGCCCUAUGCUACUCCCAUAGGUCAUCCGAGGAGUUGUCGAACUAGACAUCCAGAAAGGGCUUGCACUGAGCUCUUCACAGCAAUGAAAAAACCCACAGUUGGCAUUCCUGGCUAAUGAGAUGAAAGGUGGGAGAUCUGAGAGACAGACGGGAAGUGCAGUGUUUACUCGCUGAGGGCCACCAGAUUUAGAUGAGGAGGUAAUCAGAGAGAGGAGGCCAUGGAGGUUCCAGCGCACCCUCACUCUCCCUAACUUAUCAUCCAGCUGACAUCCCAACUGCCAGCCCUGCUGACCAACAGCUGUCCUCCGUCUUCUAGACACCUGGCAGGCAAGACAACAGCCUCCCAAAGAUCCCUCCACCUGCUUUCCCUCUACGGCCCCACCUCACCAGCUAGAUGUGCCUGACUUCUCAGAUGGGCUGGCUGGUGACUCCUCUGGUCUUCCACAGCCCCUCCCAGACCUUUGCAUCCCCAGCUCCUCCCACGAUUAUGAAAGGCCUAAUUCCUACCAUACAUCCCUUACCCCAUGAUUCAUGGUGGCUCUGCUUCUCUGAUGGAGCCCUGACCCAUACGCAUCCAGAGCCUUUACAGAAAAAGCAGCCAGAGGCUGGAGGCAGUAAAUCACAUGGGAAUCACAUGGAGAGCUUUAGAGAAAAUGCUGAUGCCUGGGUCUUGUGCUAGAGUCUGAUUUAAUUGACCCCAGGUUUGUAGUGCAGCCAUUGCAAGUUUUAAAAGCAGUUGGGGGUGAUUGUGCCCACCUCCACCUCCCACCGCACAGACGUCCCUUCACCUCUUCCCUGGGUGAAGUAGAAGCUGGUUGCUUACAGAUGACUCAUCUUCUUACUUUCUCUUUAUAAUUUUUUUCUUGAUGAAAAUUGGUCUCAGCCUGAAAGUAUAAAAUCUGUCCAACAUUAGCAUGGCUCCUGGCAUGCCAAUAGGUACCUCUCUUUCGAGUUGCUUCAAAUCGUGAUUGGAAUCAGAAUGAAAUGUAUGUUUGUGGUCUCCCAUGGCAUAUGAAAAUCCCAGUGCCAUCUGUUGUCUUCAUCAUCGUGUCCGUUAUCAAAAUACAUUGAUUAAGACUUUAA